UAAAAAUUAGUUAAUAAGAUAUAAUAUAAGUUUGUCAGACUUAAGUAAUUGAAUAAAUAUUUUUAU
RNAcentral lists this transfer RNA (66 nucleotides) under Procambarus fallax (deceitful crayfish). RNAcentral's name for it is "tRNA-Asp". The record is from RNAcentral. Lineage: Eukaryota; Metazoa; Arthropoda; Malacostraca; Decapoda; Cambaridae.